CCUCAAAUCAGGUAGGACUACCCGCUGAACUUAAGCAUAUCAAUAAGUGGAGGAAAAGAAACUAACAAGGAUUCCCCUAGUAACUGCGAGUGAAGCGGGAAAAGCUCAAAUUUAAAAUCUGGCGGCUUCGCCGUCCGAGUUGUAAUCUGGAGAAGCGUUUUCCGUGUUGGACCGUGUACAAGUCUCUUGGAACAGAGCGUCAUAGAGGGUGAGAAUCCCGUCUUUGACACGGACUACCAAUGCUUUGUGAUACGCUCUCGAAGAGUCGAGUUGUUUGGGAAUGCAGCUCAAAAUGGGUGGUAAAUUCCAUCUAAAGCUAAAUAUUGGCGAGAGACCGAUAGCGAACAAGUACCGUGAGGGAAAGAUGAAAAGCACUUUGGAAAGAGAGUUAAACAGUACGUGAAAUUGUUGAAAGGGAAACGCUUGAAGUCAGUCGCGUUGUCCGGGACUCAGCCUUGCUUCUGCUUGGUGUAUUUCCUGGUUGACGGGCCAACAUCGAUUUUGGACGGCGGAUAAAGGUGAGGGGAAUGUGGCAUCCUCGGAUGUGUUAUAGCCACUCGUCGGAUGCGUCGUCUGGGAUCGAGGACCGCAGCACGCCUUUUUGGCCGGGGUUCGCCCACGUAACGUGCUUAGGAUGUUGGCAUAAU
This 647-nucleotide ribosomal RNA is filed under the name uncultured Basidiomycota. RNAcentral describes it as "LSU rRNA". It matches the Rfam family "Eukaryotic large subunit ribosomal RNA", at positions 1 to 635 of the family's 3401-position model. The record is from RNAcentral. Lineage: Eukaryota; Fungi; Basidiomycota.